AAGAAGUGUAACAUUCCGUUUAAGGUGUUUUACUCUGAUUAAUUUAUGAAAUUAAUUGAUUUUGGGUAACGGGGUGUUACAAUAGA
Molecule: microRNA precursor, 86 nt
Filed under: Medicago truncatula (barrel medic)
Lineage: Eukaryota; Viridiplantae; Streptophyta; Magnoliopsida; Fabales; Fabaceae
Description: MIR2617 microRNA precursor family
Rfam family: MIR2617 microRNA precursor family
Source: Rfam by way of RNAcentral